Molecule: long non-coding RNA, 1313 nt
Organism: Galeopterus variegatus (Sunda flying lemur)
Lineage: Eukaryota; Metazoa; Chordata; Mammalia; Dermoptera; Cynocephalidae
Exons: 2
Source: RefSeq, a predicted model, not a curated record
AAUGAACAAGAACCGGGUAAUUGCCAUCGUCAUCAUCAGCCAGAGCCCUGUGGCUGAUGAACACUUUAUACACGGUUCUCUUGUCUCAAGUUCCGCUUUGCGUAAGCUUGUAUAUUCUCAGCUUAGUUCUAAAGUUGUCUCUGCCAGUUGGUCCUUUGAUCGGAGGACCCCAGCCAGCAAUAAGAAGACUGAAGAUUCCCUAGCUCAGUUGAAAACACAGAAAGGUAUUAAGAAAAACUAACUAACCUGAAAAACUCUGGGGUGUAUGUAUGUAGAGUUCUGGACUAGAAGCCAAGGAGGCAAAGUUGCUGUGAGUUAAUAAUGUGUUGUGGCCCUUUCUCCUCCACUCUCCCUUCCCCAUAGGGUGAUGUGUCCCAACGCCUAGAACUGUGUUUUAUAGAGAGGCAGCUAGUCGUGACCCAAUUAUACUCUUCACUGGCCAGACCACAUAGGAAGCGUUGUGUUCAGUUCUAGAUUGAGCACUUUAAGGCUUCAAUCAGGUUGAGAUUACUUCAGAGAAGAGUAGCGUGGUGAAGAGAACUCAAAAGCAUGAGAGGUGGAGAAGUAUCAAACUUGCAAGGAUUCACGUAGAAGAGAGAAAGCGGCUGAGCUGUCUCCAAAUGUGAAAAAAAAAACCCAUCAAGUGAAGCAGAUUUGUUUCAUGUGAUGCAAACUUCAGGGGAACAGAUUUCAGAUCCUGAGAAGAUCUCCUUCUAGCCAAGGAAGUUGUCUGUCUUAACAUCACCCAGGGGUAUUCCCAAAUGUUAAUGGAAAGAUGGUUUAAUGAAGAUAGCUCCAAAUGAAGAGGAAAAAGACUGUGGAAAGUGUGCCAUGAGCAAAGCCAAGAAACUAGACUGUAGAUGCAUUCUAUGAUAAUGAGUACUCUGUUUUGUCUGUUAUGGAAGUUUCUUAAUAGAAAGUAAUGAUAAAGUUAAAAUGUAUAGAAACUAAUCUGUAAGGAGACUCAAUUUUGAAUUUAAAGAACUUGAUACUGUAGGCAGUCAGUAUUUGGCAGUUACAAAAUGGGAUUAUAAGAUUAUCUUGGCAAUGUUGGGUAGGUGGGUUGAUGUUAAUGGAUGGCUGAGAAACUAAUUAAUACUCAUUACAUUUAAAAAUGUAUCAUACCAAAAAAAUAUUCAGUAGGAGAUUAAUUUAAAUAAAUUAUAGCGUAUCUCUAAAGUAGAACACUUUAUAGAUAUUAAAAAAGCAUGACAUGACUGUAUUGCUUGAUAUGAGAGUGUAUCCAAGAUGUACAGUUGAAAAUAGCUUGCAAAACAAUAUAUACAUAACAUGAAUCUGUUUAUAUAAAAUUA